RNAcentral lists this microRNA precursor (90 nucleotides) under Paramuricea clavata. Lineage: Eukaryota; Metazoa; Cnidaria; Anthozoa; Malacalcyonacea; Plexauridae. The record is from RNAcentral.
AUGGCCUUUGUCUUUGAAAGACAAGCGAAUUUGUAUUGUUAUUGUUAAUAACAAUACAAUUUUCCUUGCCUUUCAAAGACAAAGUGGCAA